GGCGAACGCUGGCGGCGUGCUUAACACAUGCAAGUCGAGCGGUAAGGCCCUUCGGGUACGACGAGCGGCGAACGGGUGAGUAACACGUGGGUGACCUGCCUCUAGCUCUGGGAUAAGCCUGGGAAACUGGGUCUAAUACCGGAUAUGACUCCACGGCGCAUGUUGUGGGGUGGAAAGCCUUGUGUGGCUAGAGAUGGGCCCGCGGCCUAUCAGCUUGUUGGUGGGGUGAUGGCCUACCAAGGCGACGACGGGUAGCCGGCCUGAGAGGGCGACCGGCCACACUGGGACUGAGACACGGCCCAGACUCCUACGGGAGGCAGCAGUGGGGAAUCCUGCGCAAUGGGCGAAAGCCUGACGCAGCGACGCCGCGUGAGGGAUGACGGCCU
RNAcentral lists this ribosomal RNA (386 nucleotides) under uncultured bacterium. RNAcentral's name for it is "bacterial SSU rRNA". It matches the Rfam family "Bacterial small subunit ribosomal RNA", at positions 28 to 417 of the family's 1533-position model. The record is from RNAcentral.